Molecule: unclassified non-coding RNA, 520 nt
Filed under: uncultured Glomus
Lineage: Eukaryota; Fungi; Glomeromycota; Glomeromycetes; Glomerales; Glomeraceae
Description: SSU rRNA
Rfam family: Eukaryotic small subunit ribosomal RNA
Source: RNAcentral
CGCAGCCGCGGUAAUUCCAGCUCCAAUAGCGUAUAUUAAAGUUGUUGCAGUUAAAAGCUCGUAGUUGAAUUUCGGGGUUAGUAGGUUGGUCAUGCCUCUGGUAUGUACUGGUCUCACUGAUUCCUCCUUCCUGAUGAGCCGUAAUGCCAUUAAUUUGGUGUUGCGGGGAAUUUGGACUGUUACUUUGAAAAAUUAGAGUGUUUAAAGCAAGCUAACGCUUGAAUACAUUAGCAUGGAAUAAUGAAAUAGGACGUUCGAUCCUAUUUUGUUGGUUUCUAGGAUUGACGUAAUGAUUAAUAGGGAUAGUUGGGGGCAUUAGUAUUCAAUUGUCAGAGGUGAAAUUCUUGGAUUUAUUGAAGACUAACUACUGCGAAAGCAUUUGCCAAGGAUGUUUUCAUUAAUCAAGAACGAAAGUUAGGGAUCGAAGACGAUCAGAUACCGUCGUAGUCUUAACCAUAAACUAUGCCGACUAGGGAUCGGAUGAUGUUAAUUUUUUAAUGUACUCAUUCGGCGCCUUAAC